RNAcentral lists this long non-coding RNA (309 nucleotides) under Phoenix dactylifera (date palm). RNAcentral describes it as "long non-coding RNA (PDAC_LNC005202)". Lineage: Eukaryota; Viridiplantae; Streptophyta; Magnoliopsida; Arecales; Arecaceae. The record is from RNAcentral.
AUUUGUUGAUUUUUAAAAUCCGCGUGACUAUAGUCUAGGCCCCGCCAAUGGGAUGAUACGUUGGCCCUGUCGACUUGUACUGGGGAACUAGUUCUGACACCGCGACCAUCGGUGAUAGAAUAGUGGCGGCACAGGGGUGCGUUUUGCUCUUCGGAGCGGCUCGGUGGAGCGUGAGUUUGGCACCAGGGGGUGCGGCACAGUGGUGCGUUGGCUCAGUGGAGCGGCUCUUCGGAGAGUUGUAUUGGCACUUCGGUGUAACCAUGCCACUGGGUGAUGUGGCCGUAGUCAUGCGGUUGAGUUAUUUUGAGU